Molecule: long non-coding RNA, 1823 nt
Organism: Felis catus (domestic cat)
Lineage: Eukaryota; Metazoa; Chordata; Mammalia; Carnivora; Felidae
Exons: 3
Source: RefSeq, a predicted model, not a curated record
CGCUCCGCCCCUCCCCUGCCGCGGGGUCUAGUCUCCAGCAUCCGUUUCCUGCCCCAACUCGGCUCCUCGCUAGGGGCCCACUUGAGCGACUCUGCUGUGUCCUCGCUACGGGAUCCUCCCUGGAUUCCCCCUUGAAACCCGAGGCUUCUGCGGCUCCUGGAUCUCUGUCCCCAUCCGCAGACUUUGCCCCGGCGUCCACUGUGGGAUCAUCAAAGGACGGGAAGAAACUGAGGUUCAGGAAGCUUCAAUCUCAUGCUGUGGGGUCACACAGCUUUUACAUGGCAAAGGCACACCUUGAACCUGGGUCUACCACACUGACCCUCCUACAUCCUGCUCCCAGCUGGCUGUAUGGCCUCGGACAUGUCCUUCAGCAUGCCUGGACCUCUGAUGCUUCGAUUUUCAAAAAAGAGAGACAGGAAGAAUCUUGGACAGACACCCUCAAGAGUUGGGAGUAACAAAGAAGGAGAAAACAACAACAAAUUUUUGAAGAGCGGAAGCCAGAUAGUUGAGUGGUAACUGACCUAACAGAUUCAAGAACACUGACUCCUAAGCAGGUAAUGGAAAAAGCCAAGAACAGCCUGUGUCAAAUUGCGGACUUCUCACAGGGUUCAAGAAUUUGUAGUUUCAGGCAUCUCUGGCAGUUAAGGUUAAGGGAAAACUUAAAAAAAAAAAAAGAGAGUGUUUAAAGCCAUUCAAGUAAUAGCUCCCUAAACUCUCUCCCCAGUUCCAUCCAUGUCACUGAGCUAUUUAUUACCCAUCCUAGCCUCAGCAGAAGACUGAAGUUUAUUCUUUAGACAGAAUAACACUGAGGGGCUCUGGACAGGUGGGACACUUGACACAGUUGGGAGUGGAGACACUAAAAACAGGAGAAUUAAGUGAUUCCAUACAUAUUAAAUGCUGAGAACCUCAGCCCUAUUCCCUCACUCCCAGAAAGGGGGUGACCAGGCCUGUCUGUAGGGUAUAAGCUUUCUCCAUGGGUUACAUCAGAAAUCUAUAGAUGCCAAUUAUCAGAGGCUGCCUAACAAACACCCCAGGCAAAUCAUCCUAUAGCAACAUCCUCUAUCACCACAGCCAGUGAGUCCCCCCACUUCACAUGGCUUUCAAUCAGUGUUUUAGUCCACCACUUGUAAACAUAAGCAGACAACCAAGGAUUAGCAGAAAUCUGAGAAAAGCCUCUAAAAUGAGACAGAGACCCCCAGAAAGGGUAGAGAGGGAGUGGCUGGGUGGCUCAGUCAGCUGAGUGUUUGACUCUUGGUUUCGGCUUAGGUCAUGAUCUCACGGUUUGUGGGUUGAAGCCCCUCAUUGGGCUCUGCUGACAGUGCAGAGCCUGCUUGGGUGUCUCUGUCUCCCUCUCUCUUUUCCCCUCCCUUGCUCUUUCCCACAUGCUCAUGCACUAUCUUUCUCUCAGAAAUAAAUAAAUAAAUAAAUAAAUAAAUAAUAAAUGGCAGAGGAAAAAAAAGCAAUUUGGAAGAACAGAGAUUAUGCAGGGAAAUGAAAAUUUUCAAAAACAGAAACAAAACUAAUGAUAUCCUGAGUGAGCUAACAUCAUAUUUCACCCAUGAAGAAAGAAUUGCAUGUUCUAAAAAGUAACAUUUGUAGAACCAAAAAACUCUUGAAAAGUAAAACUACAGAAGCAGAAAUGAAAAACUCAAUAGAAGAAUUGAAAAAUAAAGUUGAGGGAAUAUCUUGGAAAUUAUAGGAAGAGGGACGCCUGGGUGGCUUAGUUGGUUAAGCAACUGGCUGGCUCAGGUCAUGAUCUUGUGGUUUGUGGGUUCGAGUCUCGAAUCGCGCUCUGUGCUGACAGCUCAGAGCCUGGAGCCUGC